This is a long non-coding RNA of Impatiens glandulifera, 1661 nucleotides long. RefSeq lists it as uncharacterized. NCBI's taxonomy places the organism in Eukaryota, Viridiplantae, Streptophyta, Magnoliopsida, Ericales, Balsaminaceae. The record is from RefSeq and is a predicted model, not a curated record. The transcript is spliced from 6 exons.
CGCUGGUAUUUUAUAGAAUGGCGAUUGGAUAAGCAUCCAAUCACGGUUUCCUUUUUAAAACAACUUUACUUUCUUCUUUCGUUUGGAAACUACUUUACUUUUCUUCUUAGCUCCGGAGAUUCCCAAAUCGAACAGAGUCCUAGUCGAAGUCCUAGAUCUUCGAUUCCCAAAUCUUCGACAGAUGUUUCAUCUUCUGAACCUCCUCUUCCGACUCACAGCAACAGCUCCGGAGAUUCCCAGCAACAGACGCGGUGGAUUAGGGUUUCAUCUUCUGAGAAUGGAAUUCUGAACCUCCGGUGGAUUAGGGUUUCAUCUUUUACAACAGACGUUUAUAGAAUGGCGAUUUGAUGAAUGGUCGAAUAGAAGUCAGACGUUUCAUAUUCUGCAACAGACGCGGGUUGUACUUGGGUUUUAAUCUUCGUGCGGAAUUCUUGAGCAGCAUUUCAUAUCAAAACUCUUCUUUAUGCUUUUCUUGCCGAUCCAGCUGAAGGAAGAACGAAGAUUGAAAAGAUAUGAGGUGAAACCAAUCGAUUGCUAAGUUAAGUUGCAGACGGAGUGAUUCAAUGCUACCAAUCCCAUCUUCAUCUUCGACUCACCGUUGAAAUCUCUGAGAUCCAAUUUGAUGAAUGAAGGUCGAAUAUAAGUCAGACGCAAAUCUUCGACUCAACAGAACCGUUGAAAUGAAGAUCGAAUAGAAGAAAGGAGCAUCUUCUGGGAUCAACAACAGACGCGGAUUGUACCUCUGGUGGAUUAGGGUUUCCAGACGAUUCAUAACAACUGUCUAGCAUUCGAUUGGACUCGAUUUUAUCCGGAUUUUAUAAAACCAAUCGAUUGAACGAAGAUCACUCGUUAGCUGAAGGCGACCUUCUUCUUCCGAUUCUCUUCUCCUUCCUUCUUCUGUUAGGUCCUGCAUCUGUGAUUGCCCCUGAUUCCUAAAGAAAUUCAAUAAAACAACUGGUCGUGAGGUUCAAAUCUCGCUUGAUUGCGUUAGAGACAAAAACCUUAUGCAGCUAAAGAAACUCAACAUUGCUCUUUUUCCCGUUUGCUACAAUGAUACAUACAUACCCACUCUAGUGGCAACAAAUGGAUAUUGAAUAUACUUUCUGGCAAAUGCUUCACUUGUGCACAUCACCAAAAGUUGUGUGGUACAAUUUUCAGAAGCAUACAUGUCUGCUGUUGAAUGUUAUAAAGAUCAAAGGAGGAAGGUUUCACGCUUGAAGAAAAUGAUCGCACGGAAGGCUUCAAGGAGUAUAGAAAGAUUUUAGACAUGACUAAGUUCACACAAGAAAAGAUUGAACGCUUGAAGGCUAGAUCAAGUCGCUUGCUUAACAGGAUAGAGCAAAUCGAGCCUUCUGGAUGGAGGGAAUUCAUGCAGGUCAGCAAUGUCAUCCAUGAAGCUAGAGCACUAGAUAUAAAUAUGCACAUGAUAUUUCCUCUUUGGUGAAACAACUUCUGCAAUUCGAGGAGAAAAUGAACUCUAGCUUGCAAUGGUCCUACGGAAUAAAAUUUUGUUAAGUCUAAAGCCUGCACAGUUUGCUGUCGUUUGUGGUAGUUUAGUUUCGGAAGGGAUUAAACUUCGUCCAUGGAAAAAUAACAGGUAUAGUUUUAUUUUCAGGAUCAUGUUCAUGAUGAUUUUUCUUGGCUUUGAGGAGUUAACACCA